Long non-coding RNA from Galeopterus variegatus (Sunda flying lemur), 299 nucleotides. RefSeq lists it as uncharacterized. Lineage: Eukaryota; Metazoa; Chordata; Mammalia; Dermoptera; Cynocephalidae. The transcript is spliced from 3 exons. The record is from RefSeq and is a predicted model, not a curated record.
GCAGCGGCUGUGCUCUGAUAUAAUAGAGCUGCUAGGACCAACGCCGUCCCCGCCCCGCAGCGUCCUCUCCCCUGACUCUCAGCAGCCUUGAAUCCUGGUCUGGCUCGGCAAAGGCCUCGGCAGGAGGAAGAGGAGGAGGCCCGCCGGCAUCAGACCAAUGCUGGAAGGGGUGUGAGGAGAGGAACCGCCGCCCGUCUCCGAGCUGCCAGACCCGGAAGGAGUAUGGAGCUGGAGUGAAGUGGAGGGCCACGGGCUGCUGACAGGCACGUGGGUCACUGGUGGCUCACGGAUCACUGAGG